Molecule: long non-coding RNA, 2256 nt
Filed under: Homo sapiens (human)
Lineage: Eukaryota; Metazoa; Chordata; Mammalia; Primates; Hominidae
Description: HSALNT0276537
Source: RNAcentral
CCUCCGGCUACAAUGAUUGGUCAGAAUCAAGCCCUUGACUGAAACCAACCAGUCACAGCUAAUGAGAUUAAUCAUCAAUGAAUAUUAGCUAGUGUUACUGCUCCAUUAUUGUGGCAAAUGUUAACUCCAUCCCCCACCCACAGCCGGGUCUUGGUAGGGAGAGGGUGAAAUGAUGGACUAGGAGAGAUUUGGGUUCCUUGGACAGAUCUUGCCUUUUCCAGCAAGCUAUGGGCCCCUGGCCCUCACCUCCCGCUUCUCAGUUUCUUCACCUGGAAAAUGAAGAUGACUAAGGAACCUGGGCCUUGGAAGGUUCUGGGAAUUCAGUGGAGUCAGGCACGUUCUUCAUUUGUGUAUUAUCUACGGCCCAGUUCUUGCUGCAGCAGCGGAAUCGAGAAGCUGCGGGAGAGACCCCGCAGCCUGCAAAGCUGAAAAUAUUUACUUCCUGGCCAUUCACAGAAAAUGUUUGCCAACCCAUGACCUAAAGCAUCAUCUCUCAGAGGGUUGGGAAGGAACCUGGAAGCUGUCCCAUUCAGAGGCGGGAGCUUCAACGGGACCCUGCGUCUUCUGCCUCCAAGGCCUGUGGUAGGGGCUGUCACAGGCUGCAGAGGAGUCCAGGAGGGAGAUGCUACAGGUAAGGCAGGAGGAUGGAGAAGAGAGAACAGACUUGAACUAGACUUAGGGUCACACCAGCAGCUGUGAGCAGCUGACGAGUGUUCCAGUGCAAGGAGAGGAGGGUGCAAGAGCCAGGGAUUAUACACUGAUUAGCCUCCAUCACCGCAGAAAUUAUCUUGCCUGUGCAUGGUGCGAGGGUCUGGAACAUACAUUUAACCAAGGCAAGGAGCGAAGUGAGAGGAAGCAAUAUUGUGGAUUGCAGGAGGUGAUGGAUGAGAUGAGAGAAGAAUCUGCAUGGUCAGAAUCUGUUUGGCAUCGGAAGGGAAGUACCCAGGAAAUUUGAGGAUCGCCUCGUCCAGUUGUCUGUGGAACUGAACUGUGAGUUGUCCAUGAGGGAUGAAUGGCAAUGCCAAUGUUUCCAGAGUUUCUGUCAUGAGGUCUCCUGGCUUGGAGAUGGAGAGGGCACACACAGGUUUCGGAUUCAAGCCUGCAGGACAGUCCUGGCUGCACCACUCAGGAACCCUGGGUGAGUCUCUUUACCCCUCACAGCCUCAGUUUUCCCUUCCUGGAAAUGGGACCACAAUCCAAACCUUGUAGAACUGCUUCAAAGAUGAAAGGAGACAUCGCAUGUGAGAUGCCGGCCCAUAGGAGCCAGGGCACGAAAGGCAGCUCCGCAUUGGGUCCCCAAAAAGUCUCCGCAGGUUGGCAGCCAAGAGAGCUACCAUUUCUUUGUUUGGAGAGAUUCCACUCCCUGGAAAGGGUAAUCCUGCAGGAAAGGAGGAGGGAGUCGUUCCAGAGUUUGGGAGAUGUCGGCUUUGACUCUGAGUGAUGCCGCCUCAAACACUUACUGUCAUACAGGAAGUUACUCAAACACAAUCAAUUAGACACCCAUAUUAGCAUAUUUGUCAUUGUAAUACAGCCGCAGAGAGGAGAUGCUGGAGACUGUUUAUUGCUGUUCUGAGCUAAUAUUUAUUAAAGUGAUUAAUAUGUUUUUCAAAUAUCUGUGACAGGCGUGGCAGGAAUUACUGAUCUCCUCCCUCGAGAGCCUGAAAGGGUGAGGGGUGGGAGUCACUUAGAGAGGGGCGGCAGGUAGGGGCCUUGGGGCCUCAGGGGACCGUGUCCUCCUCUGGGGCCCCUUUCCUGCUCGGGCCUCCUGCCUUCCAUCUUCCCCUGUCUCCUCCACCUUCAACUUCCCCUGUCUCCUCUCCUCCACCUUCAACUUCCCCCUCUACUGACCGUUCCCAUCGGCAUUCUGAGACAUCUCCCACCAUGACAAAUAGAGACCUCCCAGGAUGCCCUGUCCCCCUGCUCCUUCCUGGACCCCCUCAUCCCCAGCCAUUCUGCCAUCUUCCUCCUUCCCUCCAUAGCCAAACUCUUCAAAAGAACUCUUUUCCCUCCCUACCUCCUUUGCUCAUCUUCCAGUCUCUGCUUUUUAAAAAUCAUUACAAAAAAUUAAAAGUGGCUGGGCGCGGUGGCUCACACCUGUAAUCCCAGUACUUUUGGAGGCCAAGGCGGGAGGGAAUAACCUGAGGUCAGGAGUUCGAGACCAGCCUGGCCAACAUGGUGAAACCCUGUCUCUAUUAAAAAUACAAAAAUUAGCAGGGUGUGGUAGCUGGUGCCUGUAAUCCCAGCUACUCAGGAGGC